RNAcentral lists this unclassified non-coding RNA (396 nucleotides) under soil metagenome. RNAcentral's name for it is "partial contains 5.8S ribosomal RNA, internal transcribed spacer 2, and large subunit ribosomal RNA". The stretch from base 1 to 122 matches the Rfam family "5.8S ribosomal RNA", at positions 35 to 154 of the family's 154-position model. The record is from RNAcentral.
GAUGAAGAACGUAGUGAAAUGCGAUACUUAGUGUGAAUUGCAGAAUCCCGUGAACCAUCGAGUCUUUGAACGCAAGUUGCGCCCGAAGCCAUUUGGUUGAGGGCACGUCUGCCUAGGCGUCACAUAUCGUUGCCCGAUGCCUAUUGCACUGUGAUAGGAAAUUCUAGGGCGAAAGAUGGCUUCCCGUGAGCGUUGUUGCCUCGCGGUUGGUUGAAAAUUGAGUCAUUGGUAGGGUGUGCCAUGAUAGAUGGUGGUCGAGUUUGCACGAGACCGAUCAUGUGUGCGCUCCCCAAAAUAUCGACUCUUUGACCCCACACGCGUCUUUUGACGCUCAUGACGAGACCUCAGGUCAGGCGGGGCUACCCGCUGAGUUUAAGCAUAUCAAUAAGCGGAGGA